Molecule: ribosomal RNA, 474 nt
Filed under: Ligilactobacillus agilis
Lineage: Bacteria; Bacillati; Bacillota; Bacilli; Lactobacillales; Lactobacillaceae
Description: bacterial SSU rRNA
Rfam family: Bacterial small subunit ribosomal RNA
Source: RNAcentral
CUAAAAUGAGAGUUUGAUCCUGGCUCAGGACGAACGCUGGCGGCGUGCCUAAUACAUGCAAGUCGAACGCUUUUUUCAAUCAUCGUAGCUUGCUACACCGAUUGAAAAUUGAGUGGCGAACGGGUGAGUAACACGUGGGUAACCUGCCCAAAAGAGGGGGAUAACACUUGGAAACAGGUGCUAAUACCGCAUAACCAUGAUGACCGCAUGGUCAUUAUGUAAAAGAUGGUUUCGGCUAUCACUUUUGGAUGGACCCGCGGCGUAUUAACUUGUUGGUGGGGUAACGGCCUACCAAGGUAAUGAUACGUAGCCGAACUGAGAGGUUGAUCGGCCACAUUGGGACUGAGACACGGCCCAAACUCCUACGGGAGGCAGCAGUAGGGAAUCUUCCACAAUGGGCGCAAGCCUGAUGGAGCAACGCCGCGUGAGUGAAGAAGGUCUUCGGAUCGUAAAACUCUGUUGUUAGAGAAGAAC